GGAUCAGGGCACGGUAGAGCAGCAGCUGGCAAAGUGAUUCUGUUGAGCUUAAGCUCAUAGUGCCUUAGCGAGUUAGCAUGGGAAAUACCUUGCUAUUGUCUGUGACUCUGUGAUUGUGUGAGUAUGAGUGACAGAGUGGGGACAAAGAGAGAGGGAGAGAGAAUACAUUAAAUUUUAAAGAAGGACAAUAAGAGAUGCCUGGGUAGCUUACUCAGUUAAGCAUCUACCUUUGGUUCAGGUCAUGAUCCCAGGGUCCUGGGAAUGGAUCCCAUACCAGGCUCUAGUGGGGGGCCUGCCUUCCCUCUGCCUGCUGCUCCUCUUGCUUGUGAUCUCUCUUCCUCUGUAACAAAUAAUAGUAAAAAAUAAACAAGGGCGAUAAGUUAUGUUUACUUUUGUUUCUGAUGCCAGACAUAGGUUCAGAGGAUUGAAGAGGGAGAUCCAAGGAGCUAGCCUCUUAAGAGGAGUGAAUACCUAGUCACUGAGUGAUUUUCUGAAUGCAGUUAUGGGCAGUGCUGGGUACUGAAGAAGACGCUCUGCUGACCAGAGGAGUGGGGAAAUUACAGAACAAAUUCCACAGCAUUUCUCCAUUUGAACUGGCCACCUUUUAAGUGGUCAUUAGCCACAGGUGGCUACUAGCCAUUGGGCUUGGACAGCAGAGGUGUGGAAAGUCCGCACAUUCUUCCACUCAAAGGAUAUUGAAAAUUUCCAGUUCUCAGUAUAACUGCCAACUGGCCCAGGGGUGGACAAGUGAGUCAGAUGAGACCAAAAUGAAAAUUCUGUUGAGACACUGGACCUUGAGGAUUCAAGCCAAGGACGAAAAAGUGUUGGUACUCCAUUAUUCUGAUGGUCCAUUAACUCUUGCUUUUUUGGUUCCUGUGUCUAUCACAGCCCCUGCCUUUUUGAAGAUAAUGACCACUCAUCUGAGUACACAGUUCGCAGAAUCCCUUUGCGGUGGCCCAUGCGGGCCAAGGUAGUAGAGCAUAAUAGAUCUCUAGAAGGCCACUAGAAACAGCAGGUGAUGGCCCCAGCUCCUGUCCCUCCAUGCAGAACAUCUGUCAACACCUAUGGACAUCUUUUCUCCCCCAUUCCUAUGAAUGUUGCUCAGUUGUUACAUGGCAUGGACAAAUGCUGCUGGCUGGUGGCAUGGACACACUGGACAAGCUUGGCCUUCGGUAAAACAAAGACUGGAUUCAAUUACUCAAACUGAAACAGGAAUGCUUGGAUGAACAAGCCUGCCAGGAAGUCCCACUGGAGGUACUCAACCUGUGCCCCUUCCCUCUUUGGACCAAGAACCUGAACUUGAGAGAUGAAUGGCUUAUCCAAGGUUAUGGCAAGGUUACACAGAGCUGAAAGUAGACACAGGUGUACAUGCUUAUUGAUCAAGGCUGGCUGUGAAAUCGAACUGCCUCAAAUCUUGAUUCUUUUUGCCACUUCUUAUUCUCUGACCCUGUUUUUCAUAGUUUAGGAUGUAGGAAUAAUAAAAAUAUCAGCUAAUGGGGUAUCCUGAC
Molecule: long non-coding RNA, 1508 nt
Organism: Mustela erminea (ermine)
Lineage: Eukaryota; Metazoa; Chordata; Mammalia; Carnivora; Mustelidae
Exons: 5
Source: RefSeq, a predicted model, not a curated record